This 253-nucleotide ribosomal RNA is filed under the name uncultured bacterium. RNAcentral describes it as "partial 16S ribosomal RNA". It matches the Rfam family "Bacterial small subunit ribosomal RNA", at positions 524 to 776 of the family's 1533-position model. The record is from RNAcentral.
UACGGGGGGGGUAAGCGUUGUUCGGAAUCACUGGGCGUAAAGCGCACGUAGGCGGAUGUGUCAGUCAGGGGUGAAAUCCCGGAGCUCAACUUCGGAACUGCCUCUGAUACAGCACGUCUUGAGUCCGAUAGAGGUGGGUGGAAUUCCUAGUGUAGAGGUGAAAUUCGUAGAUAUUAGGAAGAACACCGGUGGCGAAGGCGGCCCACUGGAUCGGUACUGACGCUGAGGUGCGAAAGCGUGGGGAGCAAACAGG